Molecule: non-coding RNA, 72 nt
Organism: Dryococelus australis
Lineage: Eukaryota; Metazoa; Arthropoda; Insecta; Phasmatodea; Phasmatidae
Source: the annotation of a GenBank genome assembly
GGCCUGUUGGUCAAGGAUUAUGUUUCUCGCAUAGGGUGCGAGAGGUUCCGGGUUGAAAUCCUGGACAGGCCC